This 255-nucleotide ribosomal RNA is filed under the name uncultured bacterium. Its description in RNAcentral is "partial 16S ribosomal RNA". It matches the Rfam family "Bacterial small subunit ribosomal RNA", at positions 524 to 777 of the family's 1533-position model. The record is from RNAcentral.
UACGGAGGGAGCUAGCGUUGUUCGGAAUUACUGGGCGUAAAGCGCACGUAGGCGGCUUUGUAAGUUAGAGGUGAAAGCCCGGGGCUCAACCCCGGAAUUGCCUUUAAGACUGCAUCGCUUGAAUCCAGGAGAGGUGAGUGGAAUUCCGAGUGUAGAGGUGAAAUUCGUAGAUAUUCGGAAGAACACCAGUGGCGAAGGCGGCUCACUGGACUGGGUAUUGACGCUGAGGUGCGAAAGCGUGGGGAGCAAACAGGG